This 253-nucleotide ribosomal RNA is filed under the name uncultured bacterium. Its description in RNAcentral is "partial 16S ribosomal RNA". It matches the Rfam family "Bacterial small subunit ribosomal RNA", at positions 524 to 776 of the family's 1533-position model. The record is from RNAcentral.
GACGAACCGUGCGAACGUUGUUCGGAAUCACUGGGCUUAAAGGGCGCGUAGGCGGUUGGUCAAGUCAGGGGUGAAAUCUUUCGGCUCAACCGGAAAACUGCCUUUGAUACUGACUGGCUGGUGGGAGAUAGGGGUUGCGGGAACUACCAGUGGAGCGGUGAAAUGCGUUGAUAUUGGUAGGAACGCCGGUGGCGAAAGCGCGCAACUGGAUCUCUUCUGACGCUGAGGCGCGAAAGCUAGGGGAGCAAACGGG